UACGGAGGAUGCGAGCGUUAUCCGGAUUUAUUGGGUUUAAAGGGUGCGUAGGCGGACUGUCAAGUCAGCGGUAAAAUUGAGAGGCUCAACCUCUUCCCGCCGUUGAAACCGGUGGUCUUGAGUGGAUGAGAAGUACGCGGAAUGCGUGGUGUAGCGGUGAAAUGCAUAGAUAUCACGCAGAACUCCGAUUGCGAAGGCAGCGUACCGGCAUCCAACUGACGCUGAGGCACGAAAGCGUGGGGAUCAAACAGG
RNAcentral lists this ribosomal RNA (252 nucleotides) under uncultured bacterium. RNAcentral describes it as "partial 16S ribosomal RNA". It matches the Rfam family "Bacterial small subunit ribosomal RNA", at positions 524 to 776 of the family's 1533-position model. The record is from RNAcentral.